GUGCUCGCUUCAGCAGCACAUAUGCUAAAAUUGGAACGAUACCAAGAAAGAUUAGCAUGAUCCCUGCACAAAGAUGACACACAAAUUCGUGAAGAGUUCCAUAGUUUU
Molecule: small nuclear RNA, 108 nt
Organism: Cricetulus griseus (Chinese hamster)
Lineage: Eukaryota; Metazoa; Chordata; Mammalia; Rodentia; Cricetidae
Source: Ensembl